GAUGAAGAACGUAGCGAAAUGCGAUAAGUAGUGUGAAUUGCAGAAUUCAGUGAAUCAUCGAAUCUUUGAACGCACAUUGCGCCCCUUGGUAUUCCAUGGGGCAUGCCUGUUCGAGCGUCAUUUGUACCUUCAAGCUUUGCUUGGUGUUGGGUGUUUGUCCCGAGGGACUCGCCUUAAAGUAAUUGGCAGCCAGUGUUUGGUUUUGAAGCGCAGCACAAGUCGCGAUUCAAGGCUACACGCCCGCUUCCACAAGCCUUUUUUCACUUUUGACCUCGGAUCAGGUAGGGAUACCCGCUGAACUUAAGCAUAUCAAUAGCGGAGGA
This 323-nucleotide unclassified non-coding RNA is filed under the name soil metagenome. Its description in RNAcentral is "partial contains 5.8S ribosomal RNA, internal transcribed spacer 2, and large subunit ribosomal RNA". The stretch from base 1 to 120 matches the Rfam family "5.8S ribosomal RNA", at positions 35 to 154 of the family's 154-position model. The record is from RNAcentral.